Molecule: transfer RNA, 69 nt
Filed under: Dicentrarchus labrax (European seabass)
Lineage: Eukaryota; Metazoa; Chordata; Actinopteri; Moronidae
Description: tRNA-Ser
Source: RNAcentral
GAGAGAGGUUUGCUAACACCGAAAACUGCUAAUUUCCGCUAUCUUCAGUUGAACUCUGAAGCUCCCUCG